This 245-nucleotide ribosomal RNA is filed under the name uncultured bacterium. Its description in RNAcentral is "partial 16S ribosomal RNA". It matches the Rfam family "Bacterial small subunit ribosomal RNA", at positions 524 to 774 of the family's 1533-position model. The record is from RNAcentral.
UACGGGGGAGCAAGCGUUGUUCGGAUUACUGGCGUAAAGGGCGCGUAGGCGGCCACUGCAAGUCAGUUGUGAAAUCUCCGGGCUUAACCCGGAAAGGUCAACUGAUACUGCAGGGCUAGAGUGCAGAAGGGGCAACUGGAAUUCUCGGUGUAGCGGUGAAAUGCGUAGAUAUCGAGAGGAACACCUGCGGCGAAGCGGGUUGCUGGCUGACACUGACGCUGAUGUGCGAAGCUAGGGAGCGACGG